This 511-nucleotide ribosomal RNA is filed under the name Elapsoidea sundevallii. RNAcentral's name for it is "partial 16S ribosomal RNA". It matches the Rfam family "Bacterial large subunit ribosomal RNA", at positions 1816 to 2597 of the family's 2925-position model. Lineage: Eukaryota; Metazoa; Chordata; Lepidosauria; Squamata; Elapidae. The record is from RNAcentral.
AACCUUUAGCCAUCAAACCAGUAUUAAAGGCAACGCCUGCCCAGUGAAUAAUUAAACGGCCGCGGUACCCUAACCGUGCAAAGGUAGCGUAAUCACUCGUCUAUUAAUUGUAGACCUGUAUGAAAGGCAUAAUGAGGGUCUAACUGUCUCUUAUAGUAAAUCAAUUAAACUGAUCUCCCAGUCCAAAAGCUGGAAUACCCACAUAAGACCAGAAGACCCUGUGAAGCUUAAACUACACUAUUAAAUCCCAUAAUAGCUCCUUUCGGUUGGGGCGACCUUGGAAAAAAAAAGAACUUCCAAAAACAAGUUUAUUACCAUAACUUCUCAGGCUAACAAGCCUACCUUUGACCCAGCAAAACUGAUAAUUGAACCAAGUUACUCCAGGGAUAACAGCGCCAUCUUCUUCAAGAGCCCAUAUCAAAAAGAAGGUUUACGACCUCGAUGUUGGAUCAGGACAUCCUAAUGGUGCAACCGCUAUUAAGGGUUCGUUUGUUCAACGAUUAACAGUCCC